Molecule: non-coding RNA, 357 nt
Organism: Vicia faba (fava bean)
Lineage: Eukaryota; Viridiplantae; Streptophyta; Magnoliopsida; Fabales; Fabaceae
Source: the annotation of a GenBank genome assembly
AUGGCGGUAGAACAGCUAGCAAGAGGUGCCCAGCCCCGAUGCCAAUGCCCUUUCUGUUCUCGAGUCUUUGCAAUCUUCUGCCAUUCCUCGACUUUGAAAUGGUUAGACCACUGUCUUCGAGUCCGGUUGAGAAAUAGCGGAUUUGAGUACCGGGAAGUAAGGCCCUUGAAGAACCUUCCACGAAUUAUCGAUAGUAGUUUACUAAUCCAAGGAAGGAGUGAUGCGAAGAAUUGCUUUCUUUCGUACCCAUUCACAAGAAAGAAGGGUCUCAAGCAGUGUGUUCAUGGUCACUCAGAACAUAGGAUUUUCGGCAUCAAAGAGCGCGUGGGACAGGUGAGGGAAGGAAGGGCGGGAUGA